RNAcentral lists this ribosomal RNA (253 nucleotides) under uncultured bacterium. RNAcentral describes it as "partial 16S ribosomal RNA". It matches the Rfam family "Bacterial small subunit ribosomal RNA", at positions 524 to 776 of the family's 1533-position model. The record is from RNAcentral.
UACAGAGGGGGCAAGCGUUGUUCGGAAUUACUGGGCGUAAAGGGCGCGUAGGCGGCCUGCUAAGUCGAACGUGAAAUCCCUGGGCUCAACCCAGGAACUGCGUCCGAUACUGGACGGCUUGAGUAUGGGAGAGGGAUGUAGAAUUCCAGGUGUAGCGGUGAAAUGCGUAGAUAUCUGGAGGAAUACCGGUGGCGAAGGCGGCAUCCUGGACCAUUACUGACGCUGAGGCGCGAAAGCUAGGGGAGCAAACGGG